UUAAUUAACUUUUCUUUUUGAGAUAACAAAAUCUCUGGUGUUGAAAACAAUGAGGUUUGAGGUUCAAGCUUGAAUAUCAAGUUACAAUUAAUAGAUGGUCUUAGGACAUAUCAAAGAUUUCUUUAAAGACAAAAUAAUAAUUACAAGCAAUAGGAAUUUAUGGUAUUCAGAACAUGUAACCUUCGCACAUGAAGCUUGAGUCCAGCAAAAGAUGCAGCUAGCCAAAACCCCACAAAAUCUCUGUCAACAUGUCUGUUCUACUUCAAUAUUAAGCACAUUCAUAGCGGUAUCAACAGCUUACAGCUCCAAAAUAUUUUCCCCAAAAAGAGUUGAGAGAUUUCACUGAAGCUAAUUUGUGACUUGUCACUGCUCAAAUGUUCUAUAACACGAUAUGAUUAUUCUAGUAACACAAAUCCAAUAGCAUGCAACAUAAUCUACUCUCUAACAUUGUGCAUUAGUAAAAUAAAACAGAGUAAAAAGAGACACCAUGCCUGUGAAUCUCUUCUUUUCCCCCUACCACCCCUUUUUUUGGUGAAGUCCAUCAAAUGAAAAUGCAGCAUGACCACGUUGGCCACUGCCACUGCCAUUACUUCUUCAACUGUGCCUUUUGUUGCAGGAAAUAUUCAAGUGAAAGAUUGGAUUAUAUAAUUCAAGAUUCCAAUAAACCUGAGCUGCAAAGGUUGCCUUCCACUAGCCUAUCAGAGACUAUGCUUUCUAUUUUCCUAGUUUUUUAAUCAAAAUUUUGCAAGAUUUAUUUAUGGAAAUCUUGGACAAAAUUUUAUGUAAGAUACCAUAAAGCCAAACACAAUCUUUUUAAUUCUCAGCAGCAACAUUUAAAGUAAAAAAAUGGAAGCCAUAUGAAUAUAACUAUGUUUGGUACAAGGAACAAUUAUUUCAAGCUUUCAGAAAUGCUACCAAGAAAUUGUAAGAGAACUUUACCUGGUCACAGAAUAUGUCUAACAUACUACCACCAACUGUCUUCAGCACGAUUGUUAUGAAGUAGCUUUUGAAUCGGAAGAUUCCAGCUUCCACCAGGCACCAUUAUUUUCAUUCUUGAUACACUCUCAUCAUCCCAAUCAAGGCUUCUUCUCCAGCUCUGGAUUAUAAGUCCACUCCGACAUCUUCAAACAUCUCGGUCCUUCCAUUUGCCAACAACCGAUAUGGCUUCCUUCCUUGCCUUCCUCAUUAAUAUAUCACUCGAAGGAAAAAAAGCAUCAGCAAUUCUCUUCAACGCCUCAUCGUUUAUAACCCCCCAAAAAAAGGGUCUUCAGACACCUCAACUUUGCCUUGUGCAAAACCUCCCCAAAAUCUGAAUUAUCCAACACAACAGCCAGAUACUCAAUCCUUCUUUUGUCCAUCAUAUCCACCGUAUGAUUCCUCAACAAAAUAUCUACAGCUUGUGGCUUAUCUAACACUGUCUUGAUCCAAAACCCCGCUCUUUUCAACUCAUCUGCCAAACCAUAACCCACUUUUGGAGUCAAAAUUGUCCUUGCAGCCCUUUUAUAUUUUUCCAUCUCCAUCGAAUACUUGCCACUCAAAUGGAAUUACCAGACAGGAAUCCCAGUAACAAGUCCACUCAACUUCUUCUCAUCCGAUCCCUCUUUCACUCUAGCGGAAACAUUAAUAACCAUUCACCAGCCACAAAUUACCCAAGUAAGUACUCGUGUCGUCAACACUUACCCUUCACUUCAUCUACGCAAACAUGAAUUCAAAUUGAUUAUUAGCUAGUGCUCAAGCGAAAGCCAAAAUAAAUUAAAUAUGUGUGUGCGUGUGUGUUAAAAGAGAAACGGUAGCGAAGUUAUUAUACAAUAAAGCAAACCAAAAUAAAUUCUACACUCAUGUGGGUGUUUCGCUCGCAAAAUCUGGACAAGAAAAAAUAAUAUUGAUACAAUCUCCAAAUAAAGAGCAUUCCUCUUGGUAAAAUAGACAAAUCCUAUAAAUUUUGAUUAAUGGUGCCAAAUGAAAGAGUUGUAAUUUCAUGUACAUUUUGUUAACAUGCAUAAGGGUACAAAAUAGAUAUUAAUGUGACAAAAACAAAGCUAAUCACAAUGAAUGAUAAGGUUUAGAAAUCCCAGUUUGUGUAAAAGAAAGAUAACAAAAUUAAGGAAAACAUAAGCACAACAAAAUUUGACUGAUUAUUAAAAAUGAGAAAUGAGUUAUAAUGAAAAUUUUGGCUUUGUGGUGAAAUAAAUUGGGAAGUAUCCAAAGUUCGCAUGUAAAUAAUAUAAAUGAUAAGAAGACGAAGGGAACAAAAUGAUAAUAAGCAAGCCAAAUAUUAAAAGCCAAAUAUUCAAGUUAGUGUCUCGCUAAUCAUUUUAGACGUAUCAAUUACAAAGGGAGGCCAUCUAUUUAUAGUAAGCGUACUGUUGCGGACCGCCCAAUUCGCUAGCCCAAUUGCCCACAAUUUCAGGCUAGAGAGCCAACACAAGGCCAAGAGUGCUAGCUUGGCCCAAUUCCGGAAAGUUCUAUGCAACUCUAGCACAUGUGAGCUUGUAAAUACUCUAGAAUUCUCUAUACAAUUCCAGCACAUGUAAAUAGCUAGGAAGUGGUAGAAUUCUCUAGAAUCUCUAGAGCUUGGCAAGCCUCCCCUAUAAAUAUGGGAUGGCAUUAGGCAUUUGUAUCCAACAAACACUACAACAAGCAACUCAAGCAUUAUAAUCUCUUUUGUGCAAUACAAGUUUCUUCUUUGGCUCAAUUGCUCUCUCUUCUCUAAUCCGAGAAGUUCUAGGCUUACUUAGCAACAUUCGGCAAAGUUGUCUAAGUGCCGCACGGGUUAGCUGCGCAAAACACUCAUCCCGUGACAGUACGCCUCUAAUGCUUUGCCAGGUGUCCAUUGAUAAUAUCACAAGGAAAAUUAAAUUGGUGUAUGUGUAUUACACCUCCUAAAGUCAUGUUAAGAUAGUUAGCACUCUUGGUUAAGUCUGCUAGAAUUGCAAACGUGUAAAGCUGAGUCAGCAAGUUAGUUAAGGUUAUUAUGAAUGCUUAGAUUCAGCUCAUGUAGAUUGUGUAUACAACUUUCUAAUAUCCUUUAGAUCUCAAUAUGAAUACUUGUAAUCAACAAAUACAAUAAUAAGAGUCAUCAUUCUUCAUUUUCUCUCAGUUUCUCUCAUAUUUUCUCUGCAUCCAAACACAAUAUUCUCAGUUCUUGACUUAGUAUCAGAGUCGCAGUUUAAUUGACGUGGCUUCGUUAAGCACAAAUUCAAAACAAAUCAGUCUCCUUCAUCCUUUACCUUCACAAAUUCGAUCAAACUGGACAGAUCUAACUAUACAAUCUGGAAAUCUCAGAUCCUCUCUUCAGUGCGUGCCAAUGGACUUGAAGGCUUUCUUAAUGGAACUAAAAUUUGUCCAGAUCAGUUACUUACUCAAGAGAUUGAAAGUUAUGGUGCUGAAAAUGCAGUUGGUGAAAGCUCAGCUGAUAGAUCUCAGGAGAAUCCAGCCUUUGUUGCUUGGAAAAUGUAGGAUCAAUUGUUAUUAAGUUGGCUCAUGUCCUCCAUCAGUGUUGAGAUACUUAGUCUUGUGGUAAAUUCUGAUUCUUCUCAUAAACUUUGGACUAAUCUUGAAGAAAAUUUUUGGAUUAGAAACUAUGGCUAAGAAAGCACACUUAAAAAUGAUGUUAAGCAAUCUCAGAAAGGGAUCAAUGACAAUAACUGAGUAUUUUGCCAAACUUAGAGCUGUAACUAAUAAACUUGCUCUAACUGGUAGCCCUGUUUCUACUCUAAGACUUUAUUACUCAUCUAAUCUCUAGAUAAGGCCAGCCAUACUACCCUGUUGUUUUGUAUAUUGAAGCUAAUAUGAUGAAAAUAUUUGUCAAUGAAGCCUAUUCUAUGCUUUUAACUCAUGAAGCAAGAAUUAAAUUUAAUCAUCCGAGUGCAAAUAAAGAAGCAAAGUUGAAUUAUGCUGCUAACAUAGCUUAGGCUGGACCUAGUAAUAACAAUAAGAAUUCUAGUAAUCAAGCUAAUUACUAUCAGGGAAACCAAGGUAACGGGAAUAGAAAUGCUCAUUGGUGUGGUAACAAUGGAGGAAGAGGUGGCUUUGGCAGAGGUUUUUCAGGGCAAGGAAGGGGUAAUUAGAAUAAUGGUGGUCAUUGGAACAAUGGACCUUGGAGUAGUAGUCGAGCAGGUUAUAACCUUUUUAUAAGAAACUCAAAAAUGUAUUAAUGAUGAAAAUUUUAAAACAGAUAGUGGACCAGCUGUUCACUAAGAAAACAAAAAACUGAAUAUUCGUGCUAUAAAAAGGCACAUCCAAUCUCACCCCUACAAAAGGCUAGAAUCAGCGACAAAUCCCUAUCUCAAAACCCCAUCCCAGUUUAGAUGAAUGAAGAAAAAAGAUGAAUCUUGAAACUCCUUAGAAACUGAAGCCCAAAGUGAAGCAAGAAGAUGAACUCUAUCCCAAGCAAGCAAUAUGGCAUAUUUCUCCAUUAAUGGUUCAAAUAAAGUGAAUGGCUUUCUCUGAUGAAUGGGAAAUUUUCAAGAUCAAUAGUCAAACUCACGUAAAGUAAACGGACUUAAUUCUCAAAGGCUACUCAUUCUAAGUCUUAAAGAAAAUUUUUCUAAUUUCUAAAGAUUAUAUGGGGAAAAAUCAUUAUUUUCUAAAAUGGAAAAUUUGAUACGGUGUUUAAUGUUUGAUCACAAUCAUAAUAUGAGUACUAACAAAAACAUCUUUAAUCGGCAUGGUGCGAGUAAAACACUAUCACUUUAUCUUUGAUAGAAAGAUGAUAAUAUAAGGAGAUGGUGAAAUGGUUUUGGUCUCUGGCAGCUUGUAAUCAAAAGAAAACAAAAAACUACACUAUUAUUAAUGAUUAUCGAAGCUACAGAAGUAUCAAAAUCGGAAAGCAAACAAUUGCAAAACACAUCAAUGACUGAAGGUUAGGUUCUAAAACUUCCGUAUUUAAUUUUCAGAGCAUGUUAUGUAUUAUUCAGAAAUAUGAUUUCACUUCAGGCACUAGACCAAGACGCAUUAAACAUAAAACGCGGCGUUUUCAUGGACUAGUACAUUCCAUGCUUCGAAAGUUUAUGUUUUAGACUGAUUGGUUUGAUACAUUAUUUGUUUAUUGUGUUUUUCUUGCUUUAAAUAUUAUGUUGGAUUGAUAAGUUUUGUACACAUUUAUAUUGCUCGCAGUAAAUAAUUUAUGACAUUUAAAAAACUAUCAACCGUCUAUCAAAAGAUUUCUACUAUAAAUAUAUAUACAAAAAAACUUUUAAUUUGGUCAAUUUGUUCUCUUAUUUAUUUUUGUUCUAUUUCUCUUUUCCUUCCCUUUCAUUUUAUUGUUUUAUGGUACAAAAUAAAAAAAUAACCUUAAAAUUUAAGGGUAAAAUACUCAUUUUACUAAAAUUCCGUUUAAUAUUAUAAAGCUGUCAAAUGUCAAUGGCAUAGUACACGAGUGAUACAAAUUAAUAACAAUAAAUUGAAAGUUUUUAUGCAUUUUCCUUUUUUUUUUUUUAUAGUCGAUUGAGAUUUCCCUUCAUAUGUUUAAACCUGUUGAUUUCCUCAACGCUCAUCCUGUUGGAAAACAACUCCUCAGUACUUGGAGUGUCUACUCCGUAGUAACAAGAAGCUAUGAUUGGUGGGCUUGCAGCGUACCCAAGUGCAGCCACCACUCCAGAAUCUGGUACUGCAAUCACGACAUCACACUCAACAGGAGCCUCGGUAGCAAGUACUUCCCCAAAAUGAUACCUCGACUCAUAAACAGACCUUUCAAAAACAACAGAAUUAGGCAAAGCAAAAUAAAUAUGCUUAAAGAUGCACUGCUUAGGUUCAGGGUGAGGCAUCAAACAAGGUGAUUGAACCCCAUCUUUAUCCACCAUCAAAACUUCACCGGGAUAUACCUCUCUCUCUCUCUCUCUCGAGUGUGGCCUCAAUCAAAUAGUGCACAAGUCUCUGACGCAAAAACCAGAGCACCAUUACUCCUCCUACCCAUCACCAACGGCAUAAACCCAUACGGGUCACGAACUGCAACAAGCUUAUCCUCAGUAACAAACACCAUUGAAUAAGCACCCUCAAGCUUCUCACAAACAUCCACAAUCCUCAAAAAGAACGGCCUAGCUUUCGAUAUCGGAAUCAAAUGGAGAACAACCACAGUAUCAGAACUAGUAUUAAAAAUGGAUCCAUUAUCUUCAAGCUUAGCCCUCAAAGUAUUACAAUUAACUAAUGUGCAACACCAACAGAACCAAACCUGUACCCAGCAACAAAAGGCUGCACAUUCUUAAGCAUAGAACUACCCGCAGUCGAAUAUCUAACAUGACCAAUGGCCAUAUCACCCGGCAAUUGAUCAAGUUUGGACUGAUUAAACACAUCAGAGACUAAACCAACACCAGUAAUAGACUGAAGAGCUUUGUUAUUCACAGCAACUAUACCUACACCUUCUUGGCCACGAUGCUGCAGCGCGUGUAGCGCCAAAUAGCACAAACGCGAGGCCUCUGGGUCACCAUAGAUGCCCACAACACCACACUCCUCGCGGGGUUUACCGUCGUCGUCAUCAUCAAAACUGCCAAAACCGUCAUCUGGGUAUUCUUUAUUUGUGGUGAAAAACUCAGAGAUGGGUUUUUUGAUAGAACAGUGAAGUUUUUUUUGUGGGUUAAAGAUUGUUGUUUCUGAGGAAAAAAAGGGUUUUUUUUGCAGGGUUUUGGAGAAAAGAGAAAGAUGGGUUUUUUGCGACGGCUUAGGGUUAACAGAUGGAGAUGGGUUUGAGAGAGGGCAGAUGUUGGCGGUGCCUGUUGUGGUGGCUGCCAUUAAUGGCUGAAUUUAUUAUAAACAGGCAAAAUUAUGGUACCAUUGUUGCAAUCAGCCAUUAGAUUUAUAGUUGUAUAGUUACAUUAACAAGAUUCAAUGGCUGAAAGCAACAGUGGUACCGUACUACUGUUGCAACAUAGCUGGACCCAUUAUAAACACUUGAAGUCAAAGUUAAUGUUUUAAUUGUUAAGAAAAGUUAGAAGAAGAAAUUUUUGUAUAAGAGAAUUGGGUUUAAAUUUAGAAUUCUUUGGGAGGAAAUGAGUCUAAAUUCCAAUAAUAUAAUUCAGCACUAUUUAUAUAUAUCAUUAGUUGGGUGAAAAAUUAAUUUCCCUCCUUUGAUGUGAUUUUCAUCAUUUAUUUUCAUAUAACGGUAAUUUUUUGUUUAGAGUGAAGUUAUUGGCACCAUUUCAUUAUCCUUAUAAAAUCCUACUUCAAAUAAAAUUACACUUAAAGACAAUAGAAUUAAAUAACAUAGUUUUUUUUUCAAACAAAUUACUCACGUUCAUAAUUUUUUUUCUUCUAAUUUUCUACAGAUUGCUUUGUAUCUAACUAAAAUAAAUUGUACAAAUUUAGAAUAAUCUAUUAUUCUUUUUAAAUUUCUUAUUGAUUAAAUAUUUGUAUGCUUAAGAUAGUUUUAAAAUUAUAAGAUAAAAUAUAUAUAAUUUAAGCCAAUGAUUAAUAUUAAAAAAUUUAUCUCUCAUAAAAGUUUUUAAUUUGUGCGUAGGGUAAUAAUAAAAUUGCAAAAGAAAUGAAAAAUAGCAUAGCACUAUUUUGAGUUUAAACAAUAAAAAAUUAAAUGAAAAAUUAGAAGUGUAUUUAAAAAAAGGAUAUUUUUGAAAAUAAAUAUAAUUUAAAAAAAAAAGAGUUUCAUGAGGGGUGCAAUAGUUCAACUCUUUUGUUUAUAAGUUUUAAGAUGUUGGUAUCCGUAGCUUAGCUUUUCCCUAAUUAUUAUAUUAAAAUGUAACAACAAUUAUGAUCAACCCUAAUUUCAUGGAGGUCAAAGAUUUUGGUCAUGCCACAUUAUUUUUUUUUUGUUUUUAAAAAUAUCAUUUAUUUAUUUUUUUUAAAGGUAAAGAAGUGGGUAAAGUUCAAAUUCAACUUUUAUCCCUUACGUCAUGGCCCCUAAGAUUUGAACUUAGGUGACCAAAUUUAUAAUAAUAGGCAUCUCAAAUUUCAUUUCUAAUGAUAUGCAAUUUAUUAAGUGAUUGUUAAUCUUUAUAAGAUCCGAGUGAAUUAAUUGUAUUAUUUCACUACUAAUUGAUGAGUAUCAUAUUAUUUGGAAUAACUUGUGAAUAAAAAAAUUGUGAUGGAUGAAAUAUUCUUUUGAGAAUUUAUUGACUUAUCUCAUUUAUGAUUUAUUGUUGCAUUUAGGUGAUAUUGCAAAUAAUUUUUCCGAUAAUAUUAUUGUUUUGACGAGUAAGUUUGGAGUAAAUAAUACAUAUGACAAGUGUGAGGUUUGUUAUUGCAUAUAUUUUGUGGAUCCAUUUUAAAGCAAAAAAAAAAAAGGCAUUUCGAUUCAUUAUGAUUCCAGAUAAUAUAUAUGUAGAUCCUCACACAAUUGAUUAAAUAUUUAUAGUAGGAUAGAGUGAUAAAUAGUUUUACAAAAUUAUUGGAAUUAACUAUUUAAUACAUGAGAUCUAUCUCACUAAGGAUAAAAGAUUGCUGCUUCAAAAGCUUGACGUUGCUGGCAACAAAUUUAACACAAAAGUUUAAUUAACUAUCCUAGUUGAGAUAAUAAAAUUUCAUGUUGAAAACAAGAGGUUCAAACCUUCUCAUUCAAAAAAAUAAAGCCAAAAUAUUACAUCUUCCAGCACAUAUAAAAGAUUUUUUCUUCAAAGGCAGACUGAUAAUUCAGGGUAAAAAAACAAAAACAAAAAAAACAAAAAAAAAAAACAAAAGGAAUAUAUGCUAUUCAAGACAGGUAUACCUUGGACAUGAAGUCUGAGUCCAGAGCAAGAAGCAUUUAGCUGAUUUUUCAAUUUCCAAAACCCAACAAAAUCUUUGUCAAAAUAUAUGAUCUAGUCCCAUAUUAAGCACAUUCAUAGUCGUAUCACCAGGUUCAAAAUAUUUUCCCCAGAUAGAGAUAGAGAUUCCAUUGAAGUUGAGUUGUGACUGUCCCAACAUUUUGUAAUUAUAUGGUUCAGUAUACCAUGCCUAUGAAUCUUUUUUUUUUCUUUUUUUCCAUGUUUCGAAGUCUAUCAAAUGAAAAUGUAAUUAUAUGGUUCAGGACACCAAUAUGCCGGAGCUGCAAAGGUUGACUUCCACUAUCCUAUCAGUGUCUAUACUUUCUAUUGAGUUUCCUUGUUUUUUUUUAAAUUGCGAGAUUUAUUUUUGGAAAUCCUUGACACAUUUUAUGUAAGAUACCAUAAAGCCAAAUACAACCUUUUUUAUUCUCAGCAGCAACUUUUUUUUUCCUUUUAAAAAAAGGAAGCCAUAUAAAUAAUGCUUUAAACAUUAUUUGCAACAAGAAACAAUUAUUUCAUGCUUUCAGGUAUUAGAAACUUCCCAAAAAUGCUAGCAAGAAAAUGAAAUGGAACUUUACCUAGUCACGGAAUAUGUACUGCUGUUAGCACAAUUGUUAUGAAGUGGCUUCUGCAUCAGAAGAUUCCAGCUCCCACCAAGCAUUGUUAUCUCUCUUCUGAAUACAAUCUACAUCGCUGGGCAUGAGUUAUAUCAUUAAUGUCUGGAUCCUCACUUACAUCAUCCCAAUCAAGUGCUUUUUCUCCACAUUUGGAUUAUAAGUCCAAUCUCUUCAAAACAUCCUAGUCCUUCCAUCACAACUGAUACGACUUCCUUCCUAAUUACUUUCCCAUUAAUAAAUCGCUCCAAGAAAAAAAAGCAUUAGCAAUUCUCUUCAACGCCCCAUCACUCAUAUCCCCACAACAACCAUCUUCAGCCACCUCAACGUUGCCUCUUGAAAGACCUCCACAAAAUCCGAAUCAUCCGACACAACCACCAAACACCCAAACCUUCUUUUGUCCACCAUAGCCACCAUAUAAUUUCUCAACAAAACAUCGGCAUCUUGUGGCUUAACUAACACCAUCCUGACCCAAAACCAUGCUCUUUUUAACUCAUCUGCAAAACCAUAACCCACUUUUGGAGUCAAAAUUGCGCUUGCAGCCAUUUUAUUUUUUUCCAUCUUUAUUGAAUAGUUGCCAACCAAAAGCACUCUCACCUUCCCUCUAGCUGAUUCUAUUUGAUUCGACCUUUUCUUUUGUUCACCCUCAUGAAUUUGCCUAAAAUGAUUAACAAGUUUGUCAUUAUUAUAAAACCUCCUUCCACAAUCACCAAUACAUACGGCUUAGCAUGCCUAAUUACACCCUUGAUUUCUAAUUGGUUAAACAAUUCUCUUUCUUUCUUUGCUCUCUUACAACUUGAGGCAUAUAACUAAACGCGUGGCUAUUAGCAUUUGCCACCAUGCAUUUAACAACCCCAAAUGAAGAUAUUAAUUUUUUUUAGUUUAAUUGCUGCUUCAAAAUGGGGUACUGAAUUUGGAUUUUGUUAUCCAAAUACCAAAAAUUUCCCAUAUUGUGCUGGACAGUUUUUGGUUCUAAAGUUGAUGACUGGUUUUGCGAAUCAGGCUUUAAAUGAGAACUUCUAAACAAUAAGACAAAUGAGUUUUGAGUUUCUAAUCUUGUAAACUUUGUUCUAUUGUAUAAGUUAUGAAAUCACUGAAACAUCACUACAUCUGCAGGUCUUUAUGUGUCAAUGAACUGCAGAAGCUGAUGAUCUACCUGUAGCAGACUUCUAUUGCCCCUGCCGUUCUAGGAAGACAAACAAGUUCAGGAGCUACUUAUGGACCAAACUCAUAAUAUUGCCACUGCAUACCCAGUAACAGUAAUCAAGUAACAAGUCAAAACGAGAAUCAAACGUAGAAUUUUGAAAUCCAUACGAACUCUAACGUAUUAGAAUGAAAGAAUAAGGACGAUCGAUAAACUAGAAUCAAACAAAAACAUGCCCAGUUAAAAAACGAAGGUAAAUAAAUAAAAAUGGUAUAAAACUGCGAAAGAAAUUAAUAAAAUGAAGAGAAAAUCACAGGAAUCCUAUGAAGAGGAAGGUCAACAAAACCUUCGGGAGCCGAGAAGAUGCCUUUUUUUGUUCACUUUGUGCCUAUACAUACAAUUUUUUUUUUUGUAAUUUUGAAGAAAGUAUUGGUUAAAUAUUGUCAUAACGAAAUAUUAAUAAUAGAUGCUAGCAAUUUCAACAAGGACAAUCUUCGAUUCAAAUGUACCUCUAUGAUAAAGAAAAAGCCAGCUUGGCUAAAUUUUGAGCACCACAUUACAGGAUCUAGGUGCAUGUUUAACUAUGCAAAAUGAAACCUCUAUUAAUUGUAAGUCCCUUGACCUCUGGAACCAGCCAACCAGUCUCUUUCCUGUUAGACAAACUUCCAUCGAUCAGACUAAUAAUAUUUACUAAAUCAUGUUCUACAGUUAAUGGAGUUGGACCCAAGGCAAUUGUUAGAAGUCCGCCUAGACAUAGAGUGCGCUUAGAAGUGGGAUGCUUAGAAAUGGGCCGCCAACACAACCAGCCAACCGUAGUGUGCUUAGCAAAUCACUGAAGCCCGACCCAAGAUCUAGAACUAUCUACAAAUUAUAAAUCAGCUAAAAGUUUCUAAGUUUCUCUACAUAGGUCCCUAGGAUAUUUAUGGAAGUUGCUAGGAAGUUUCCUCCCCUAGAACUCUAAUACCUAUACCCUCUCAUUUGCCCACCAACCACACCACACAGACAAACACUCUAGCAUACACACAAGCUCUCUAGCUUUUGUAAAAAGCUCUCUUGUAUAUUUUCUCUUUGUGAGUAAUAAAAUCAUAUUUAGCCAUAUUGCUACACUUCUCUCUAGUAUUUUCUACAAGUGUUCUUGCUUUGCUAGUUUGAGGAGUGUUCUAGGCUUGCUUAACAACUUGUUCGCUAUAACGACAUCUUGGUCACAAAACAUGGACAUGCAAGAAAAAAAUAAUAUUGAUACGUUCUAAAAAUAAUACGCGUUCUUCUACAGUGAACCAAAAAAUUUAGGCUAAUGGUAGCAAGUGAAUGAUUUCACGUGCAUUUUGUUGACAUGAACGCAAAGGACUUUUUUUAUAGUUUAUAUUGUUUAAUAUAACAUUUGAAUUGUAAAAUAGGGGUACAAAAUAGAUACACGAAGUGAUAAAACUAAGCUGAUUAUAAUAAAUAUUGAAUUAUAAGAUUUAGGUUUAAUCAGAAAGACAUAAGUGGCGCACAAAGUCACGAAUUGAUAUCAUCCACGAUGCAAGUUCAAACAACUGCAUAAUAAGUUACCCCAAGCUAAACUAUUAAUCUAGUAACUAUUCCAGUCGAUGUGGGAUAAUUUUCCUAUCACCAUCUAUCAUGUGCAAGCUGAAUUUUUUGCUUGGUCGUUACAUGUGGUAAAGUAAUAUGAAUCCACUUGUGCAUAAAUUUGGCUCCGAUACUACAUAGACGCCUAUGACCCAAAAUUAUACUUAAAGGUUAUCUCAAGAUUUGAGGAUUGACUCAAGCUAAUAUUACUAUUAGCCUGGUAACCUUUUUUGUUUGUUGAUAUGUGAUAUUUUACCUAUAACUUUUAUUAAUCUUUAUGCUUAUGUUUUGUCAUUUAUCCUAAAAUAUAACAUUAACAAAAGUUCCAAAAUUUCCUUCAAGUGAUAUAUUUGAGACAAGUAAUUUGUGCAAUAACUUUGUAAAUUGAUGAGCAAAUUCGGAGAAAAGAAUAUAUGUGCCAAACAUAACGUUUAUUAUUGUGUUUAUUUGUAGAGCUAUUUAAAGCCCAAAAAAAAGCACCGGUCCGUUAUGAUUUCAAAUAAGUUCAAGCCCUAUGUCAUUAUUGGUACAAAAAUGAAUCAGAAAGGUUAAAACCUAUUUUUAUUUAACUUAUAAACUUAGGAAAUUAUCAAAUGUCCACCCUUAAAUUGCGCUAUUAUAAAAAAAUAUUACAACAUUUUCAAGUUGGAUCAUUCAUCCACCAUAAAUUUACAAUCUGCAUCAUUUAUCCACCAAAUCAUUAACUUCGUCAAAAAGUGAUAGACGUGACAAGGGUAAUUUAGACAUUUAACACAAAAAAUAAAAGAAAAAUAAUCUAAGCUUACCAUGUUAUCAAAAUUGCUACAAAAUUUUAAAUUUGUUCAAUUUUCCAAUCUAAGUUUAUGACCUCCAAGAUGUUAAUUGCAGUUUGUAAUUAAUGACUUCAUAAGGAUAAUUUAGACACUCAAUAUGCAAAAUAAAAAAUAAAAUAAUGGCUUAAAACAUUAAAACAAAAAACUACUUUUUAUAAUUGAUAUUCAAUUAAAUAAACAUAAACUCUAUUUUUUCUUAAUUAAAAAUAUUCUAAUUUAUUUUCUCAAUUUAUCUUCAUAAAUUUAUAUUAGUUAUGGUGCAAAGUAAAAAAAUGUCCUUAAAUCCAAGGGUAAAAUAGCAUUUUAUUUAAAUUCUAUAAAUUAUUCUAACAAUGUUAACAUUUUGGUGGAAGGUUAAUAUAAGUUACAAACUUAAAAUAGAAAAUCAAAUAAAUUCAAAAUUUCAAACUAUUUAGGACAAAUUUAGGAUAUAUGGUUAAUAAUUUUCCUCUGUCUUUUUACAUCAGUUGACAGAAGUUACAAACUUAAAAUAGAAAUCAAAUAAAUUUAAAUUUUCAAAUCAUUUAGGGCAAACUUAGGGUAUAUGGUUAAUAAUUUUCCUAUUUUUUUAACAUUAAAUUGAGUUUCAAAGACAUAAUGGUCAAUUUAUUAUAAUUCUAUUAAUUUUUUAAGGGAAGCAAGCGAUAUAAUGGAUGAAUGAUAUAAAUUGUAAAAUUAAGGUGCAUGAACGAUAUAAUUUUAAAGUAUUGUAGUACUUUUAAUAAUAGAACAAUUUAAAGGUGGAUUGGCGAUAAUUUAAACUUUAAUGAAGCAACUAAAAAAUUUUUUUAACAAAGAAAAAUAAUUGAAUGCUUUGUGAAACCAAAAAUAUUUGAAAUGCUUUAAGAAAAAUAAAGGAAAUUAAAUAUCUUUUUAAAAAACAUAAUUGAGUAAAAUCAUUUUACAAAAUGCUCUUUCAAAUGCACAUUCCACAAGCCAAGAAGGAUGGGUGGCUAACAAAAAUCUCACUUUUUAUGAGUUUAUAAAAUCUCACUUUCGCAAAAUCCAAAAAUAACCAAUACUAUCACACAAAAAAUAAAAAGUAUUGCUGUCACGACAUUACACACUUUCUUCGCCGUCUAGAAAGGUAGAACAUUUUGAAGUUCCUCAAUACAAAAUGCGUGCUAUUACUAAAUUGGCCAAAGUUUUAACAAUUGAAGAAAUAGUGAACUCAAAAGGAACAGGUAAAUUUUGAAGUUGAACAAACCUUAAAGUGCAUACAACAAAGCCUUGAAACUUUAGUCUUCACAAUUUAAUCACGCAAUAAUAUUAAGUAUCCACCUAAAAAACAAGUAUAGAGCAAAGCUUGUUAGCUUCUUGGGCAUUAACUAUGAAUGAUGAGUAAAAUUAAAAAAGCAAACAGAGAAAAUUAUAAGAAGAAGAAAAGCAAACAUUUAAAAAAAAAUUAUGAGAAGGAAAAUUUUGGUAGAACUUCGUGGCUCAUCUGUGAAAUUAAUGUCAAUAUGUAUUUUUAUGUAAAUAUGGUCUCUGGCUUUUAGGAUGAAUCAAUCAGCUACCACAAACGAAAACAUGAACCAACUAUAUAUAGAGUCAAUUAAUUAAAGUUCUCAAGAGCUUACCUCUGCUCCAGAAUUCUCGGAAUCAUCAAUCUCCUUCUGAAUUUGCGCGAAGCUUGGGACAACCAAGAAAGCGUCCAGGUGGAACUGGGUUUGGAUAACCCGCAGGCCAAAAGUUGGUGAGGUUUGGUAAAUUUAUCAGUUCUAUGCCCUGAAGUUCAUUCGUAACAAUUUCAUAGUAAUCCGUGACGUCUGCUCCACCUUUAUGCCAGAAUACUUCUUCUAAUUCAUCAUUACCUACUACGAAUAGGUACUUCAGUUUUGGAAGACUUGGAGCUACGCUGAUAUGAAAUAGAUGCUUUAGCUUGGGGCAAAAACAGACAGUGAUCCUUGUGAGUUUUGGGAAACAUACAGGUUGGAGAUGAUCCUCAUCCUCAUCCUCAUCAAUGAUUUGCUCUAAUUCCAAGCAAUUCGAAACAGAUAACUCCUCCAAUUGCAACAGAUUUCGAGCAAGUGUUGAUGAGAGGAGCCGUCUCAGCAUAGUGCACCGCUCUACUGUUAAUCGGGUAAGAUUUUGCAGGCUAAAAUUAUGCGCGGGACCUUCAUGAUAUAAUACUCUCAGUUCUCGAAGAUCUUCCAAUCCCAACCCUUUCAAACAUGGGAAUGGUUUGUUUGCUUGUCCCUCAGCGAUAAUAGAUUCCGACUGAAACACCACCAGUACUCCAAUUUUGCUAAUAUUCAAUUCUUCCAAAUUUUUUAAGCCGUGCUUCAACAGUACUGGAAUCGUGUCGCUCAAAUGGGAACAAUUGUCCACAUUUAGAAUUUUUAAGUUCUGAGACAAAUAAAUAAAUAACUUGAUGUAAUUAAAAUCUAUUAGCAGCUAGGAUUAUCACAUGAUAAGUGACGAACAUCGCAAAAAACAAAGAAACAAAAUCCAUUCAAAAAUAUAAUUGUUGAAUCCAAAUUAAUCUCCAAGACCAAUUUAGAACCCCCAAGACCCACUCUAAGAAGCUUGAUCUUUGUUCUGAAUUUAAUCACUAAAUAAGUUUUGACAAGAAACAAGAGUACCUACAUGAAAUCAAUCACACAGCUAAAGAAAAUCAGAUCACACACUUAAAACCAGGAUUAUAGUGGUUCGGCCAAGUUUCUUGCCCACAUCCACUGUGGAAAACGAAGCAACCCUUUUACUGAUUUCAGAGAACAAGUUACAAAUCUGGAGAAAAUAUGUAAAUGAAUAGAUAGCCUUUGACAACAGAUCCUAUGUCCUUUUAUACUCCAUUCUGACCAAUCCGAAAGAACCCCAAGAAACCAGUUCACGCUCCUGGGUUUCCAGCCAAGAAGAUCUCCAGCUGCUUCCCGCGUGAGCUAACGGUAAAAACCACUUCUUGAAUUUAGCUUUGGGACACUUGUCAAACAUUCACGCAAACUCUUGAUUAAAACACAGAGAAAGCUGCCGUUUUGAGUUAGUGAAACACGUGACACAUCACGUGCAAUACUAACGGAUCCAGCCGACAUAUCGUUUGUGUCAAACAUCUGUUCUGAACUCCAAUGCCUGACAUGUCGUUUAUCCUUGUUGACAAACAGACGACGUGUCAUACAUAUACCUGAGAUCAGAUUUGACUUCAUAAUUCCAACACUAAUAAUACAUAUGUAAACUAAUAAAAUAAUUAAAAAAUAAUAUGGAUUGAUAAUGUGAAGUGAUAUAAAGGUGACAUUAGAUUGUUUGAGAAAAAUUAGUAUUUUAUUAAUUUUUAUGGAUUGAUCAACUAAUUAAUUGAAUUUGAGUAAUAUUAUAUACACUUUAGUAAGUGUUUGCAUCAAUUCUUUCUAAACCAAAAUGAGAUAAGACUUCCAUUUGAACAAUGAUUUUAGGCCCUAAAAUAAAGAAAUUUCCCCAAGAUAUUUGAGCAUUAUUAUUAUCAUCACCACAUCCACGAUCAUCAUCAUCUCCAUAGGACCAAAUAAUUAAUGGUUGAUCAUAAAAUUAAUUGCUAAAUUAUCAUUUUGAGUAAAAUUGAAGGAAAAGAAAAAACAUAAACACAAACAAACAUACCUCUUCAAGAUACUGCAAAUUGGCUUCAAGUUCAGUACUGCUGACGGUCAAGUUAGAACAGCGAAUAAGGUCUAACUCUUCCAAUGCUGUCCAAAUUGAACGAUAAUUUUCUGAACAGAAGCUCUUGAGUUUUGGGAGAUUGCAAAGUGUUAAUUUUCUCAACAAAGGGAGGGCAAGCAUCGUAUUUCCAUCUCCGACACUUAUUUCCCCUUCAUUGUGAUCAAACUUUGCUUCGACAAUACAUUCCAUUCUCUGGCAUCCACUGACAAAGAGACUUUUAAGCUGCUUCAAACUUCUAGCUUGUGACAACGUGAAGAUAUAUGUCAAAUUGUUGCACCCAUACACACUCAAUUUUGUAAGAGCUUGGAGGCUGAUCACAUGUUGGGCGGGCGCCUUCCAUAUCCACUUCAGUUCUGGUAAUUGCCACAUAGAUAACUCUGCUAAUCUUGAGAGCAUCACAGGAUUCCCACUCUUUCCGUACGGCGACUUAGAGGCAUCCAUUAUGCAUUCUAAUUCUUUGCACUCAUUGGCAGAAAGACAAGGCAACUCAUUUAAGCCCUUUGGAUCUAUGCUUGGCACAAUAUUGUGACAACCUAUAAUCGUUCUUAAAUUAAGAAUUUCCAGUUCUUGAUACAAUGUCGAAAAAAUACCGAGCGAGGUCGCUUCACAAUUAUUAAUCUUUAAGCACCUUCUCUGUCCAAAAAUUUCAUCUUCUUCGUCCAUUAGAAAUUCAAGUUUGUUACCGUUACUGACGUAGUGCCUUUGCAAUUUCGGGAAUGUAAAGUCUUUUGGAAGACGUGCAAUUUUUUUGUCAGUAUGUAAAGUCUUUCCAUCGUCAUUUUCUUCUGAACUCAUCCCUUCAGCCUCCCAAUCUUUUAUCCGACCAUAAAAUUCUUCUAAUUGAGGAAAUUUUUUUAUCGUAAUGGGAGAAAUACGACCAGAAUUAAUUAAUAUAAGAAGUUUCAAUGUACUAAGUUGAUCCCCAAAUUCUUCAGGAAUUUCAAUGGGAGACCCCUUGACACAAAGGAUUUGAAGUCUCUUCAACUUUCCAAGGAAAGACGCGUCACUCAUGUUACAUCGAAUCAACUGCAGAACUUGGAGGUUGGUGAGGAAUUGAAGCGAUUUAAGUGAAAUGACUCCUCCUAUUAUAGUAACAACUUUCAAUGCUGGCAUCCCUUCGAAAAAAUGUUCUGGAAUAUGCAAUUGAUAGUCAUAUUCAGUAUUCUCCAGUCGCAAAAUAUGAAGAUUAGGGCAUACCAAACCACUUGGAAGCUCUUCUUUUUCAUUUCCCAUCAAAGAGAUUCCUCUGUAUUGUUCCACUGCCCGUUCUGCCAAUCCAAUGCCAACUUUACUAGUAAAAUAUUUUUUCUCCAUUGAGCCUAUCCAUAAGGCUACGUCACGUACAAUGUCAUGCAUUUUUACAAAUCUGUCAUUACCAGCGUCUAAUAGCAGUGAAGAAGCUUUGAGCUCUUUAAUCGUUCCACUCACUAGGCUCCUGGAAUCUUCGAUUGACUCAGCUUGAUACCAAUCCAACGCCACUGCAUAUCCAACCAAAUCCUCCAAAUCUAUCUCAUAAUCUUCUGGAAACAGCGAACACAACAAGAAGCAUGACCUGGAAUCGUCACCAUUCAAAUAAUCGUAACUAAACUUGAGACAAUGGUAAACGUCUUGGUCUUCCUUGCCAAUACCUUCUAUUGUAUUAAGUUUUGCAUUUUUUAGUUUAUGCAGAGCUACUUUCCAUUCACCAUAUCCUUUACCGCUUAGUGCACUUCCAACAGCUUUAAUAGCCAAAGGCAGCCCCUUACAUUCAUCAGCAACUCGUUCUGAAACACCAAUCAAUGAAUCAGCAUCAAUGCCGGCAUGCUUUCUUAGUAAAGCCAAUCCUUCUUCUCGCUUUAGAACACCUAGUUGAAUCCGCGUGUCACAACCCAUGCGAUCACAAACUGGCUGAAGGCGAGUGGUUAGAAGGAUUUUGCAACAAUUGUCUCUAUCACCAACAGGAAUACCUACUGUCUCCAAGUCGAGUUCAUUCCAGACAUCGUCAAGGAUUAUGAGGAUCUUGCGGCUUUUACUCUUAGAGAACAUCAAGCGCAAUCGGUCUGCUCUAUCAUUUUCAUCUUUCUCCGUUAAUGCCCAACCUAACGACUUUACCAGCUCACUUUGAACAUUUAUUAUAUUUGGAUCCCGAGAUAUAGUGGCUAUCCCUACGUCAUCGAAAAUCUUUUGCUGCCGAAGUUGAUUGCCCGCAAAUUUUGCCAAGGUCGUCUUUCCUACACCACCGAGGCCAUGCAGUCCCACCAUUUUUGUGCUUUCUCUUUUCAGUGAUUCAAUGAUCUGAUUGCAAGCCAGUUCUGUAGUCUCGAAAGACGUAAAAUGUCUUGGUGCGGGUAAUUCUUUGUUUGAUGGUAGAGGUUUAGGACGGGCAACUGUGCUGAAUUUGUCGCAUUUCUUUUAUAGAUCGGACAACUUGCGAGUCUCCUUUGAUGCUUUUCUACCCAGCCAAUAUAGGCAACGCCAAUUAGGACACCAUCCAUUAAGACAACUUUUGUUUUCAUCUAUCUUUGCUUUCAAAUUUUGAACAUUGGCCAUUUCUUUGACUACAUCCGCCAGCCACUUCUCUACAUCUUUCUCGACUACUAUGGCGCGGUGUUUUUGUCGAUAUUGUUCUACUUUUUCAUUGACGCCAUCUUGUGCCUCCUUCAAAUUAGUUUCUUUAUCCCCAAGUUCUUUAAUAAUGCUGUUGAAGCAGAACAGAUAGCGAGCUUGGUUUAUGGUUGCGUCCGCCAAUAAUUCUCCAAGCUUUGAUGAAACACCUGAUAAAAUUUCCAUGCUAUUUAUCUGCAAUUAAUGAAAUUGAUCUCAGUAUGCUAUAAGCAAUUAAAACAACAAGGCUUGAUUGCAAGAUCGAACGUGAACGUUUAAUUACUUUAAUUUUUUUUUGGCUUAUUAACGCCAGCAUUGAAAUUAGAUUACUUUAUCAAAACAAAUUUCAUAUUCACUAAAAUUAAUCAUAUUCAUAUUAUAAAAUAAAUAUAAAAACAAUAUCUGAAAAGUAAUGCUAAAUCCACUCUUAAAUUUUAUGUACCGCAUUAGAAUUGAUGAACAAUCUGACAAAGAUGCUCGACUUAAGUAGGGAUGACAAUUAAAGCCGGAUUUGAAAAAAUUCGUGUCUCCAAAUUAAAAAAUGUGGAUUCGGAUAUGGAAAUUUGGAAUUCACACGCAUCCAUAUAAAUUUUAUUUUAAAUUAAAAAUAUAUAUUAAAAAUUAAAUAAAAAACUAAAAAAUAAAUUUUAUUUGUGAUUUUAUGAUGUUGUUGUAUAUUAUUCAGGUUGAAUUAUUAAUGGUUGGAUUAUGAUUGAAUUUUAUUUGAUAUUAUUAGGUAAAUUAUUAAAUUUUAUUUAAAAUUAAAAAAAUAUAUUAAAAAUUAAAUAAAAAAUAUAUUUUAUUUAUAGAUUUAUGAGAUUAUUUUAUGUUAUUCAUGCUGAAUUAUUAAUUGUUGAAUUAUGAUUGAAUUUUAUUUGAUAUUAUUAGGUAAAUUAUUGAACUUUUAAAUUAUAUAUUAAAUUAAUAUCCAGAAUAUCCUCCAAUAUCCGUUGCGGAUAUUACCCGCUUCUGGAUCCACAUCUUUUUAUACGAAUUCAGAUAUAGAAAUAUGAAUGCGAAUCCGAAUCUAGAUUUUACCAACCUUGAACCUAAGCAUGAAUGGGCCUAAAGUUUUUACAACAAACAUGGAUCAUUCAAUGACACGAGAUGUUUUACAGCUCUCAUUAGUAUAAUUAAAUAAUUAAUUCAUCUCUAUAUUCAACUUACUCCGUCUCAAAUUGCAUGCAAAUACGAAAAUACACUUCUGAAUCGUUCACUUGAGGAAAAUUCCAAAUUCUCCACGUAGAAUUUAGAUUCAAACCAAAGCAAAUUAGACAUAAUUCUAAUUUAUAUGGGAAAUAUAAUUAGCGAAGACACUCUUUAUAUAAACAUUAUUGUCAUAGGAUGCCAAACGUAAUAAGAUUCAAGGUCUUAACAUACUUCAUAUGAAAUUUGAUCUUGGCGCGUACCGACACGCAUAACAUCGAGACUCUACUUCAUAUAAUGUAACUUCAUGGAUUUUUCGCUCUCUUGUGAAAUUGACAAUUAUAGGCGCUGUGUGGCAGUGGUACAUAAUAAAAUAAACGUUUAUUUUUAGAAUAUUAUUAUUUAUCUCAAUUUUUGAUUUAAUAGUUAAUCUUAAUCAAUUCUUAAACUGCCAUAAUCAAUAAAUUUUUUACAUUAUGGCAUCUUAAAUAAAUUUAGGAUAUGUAAUAAAUAAAAACUGGUAACGUUUGUUCUUUUAAAGCAUAAAACAACCGUAACAUUGGUUUUUACAUUUUGAAUUUUUCUUGCAUCACUGUUUAGAAAAAUGAUGUUAAAUCAAUUCACAAAAUAUAUCAAGCCAUCUAAAAUCCAAAUAUUAUUACAUUUGUAUUUGCAUUGUUAAAUUGUUGGAACGACGGCAAAGCAAUUGAAAAGAUAUUAACAAAAAAGUUACCUAUUGUUUGUGGUAGUAAAUAAUAUUAACUUGUUUUACUAUACCCGUGUUUAUGUUGGUCUCCUUUUUGUCCAUUUCUGUGCAACGAAAUAUUUGCAUGUUUUGAUAGAAAUUGGUUUAAAUGACAUUUAAAAUAGUAUAUCCCCAGACAAUUGACGAAAUAUUUGUAUGGUAAGAUGAAGUAAUAAAUAGUUUUACAAAUUACCAUAUUAGAGGUAAAAAAAAAUCGAGAGGUUACUUGACAAUUAUGACAUUACUAACUACAAAUUUAACACAAAAAGUUUAAUUAACUUUUCUUUUUGAGAUGGCAAAAUCUCUGGUGUUGAAAACAAUGAGGUUUGAGGUUCAAGCUUGAAUAUCAAGUUACAAUUAGUAGAUGGCCUUAGGACAUAUCAAAGAUUUCUUUAAAGACAAAAUAAUUAUUAUAAGCAAUAGGAAAUUAUGGUAUUCAGAACAUGUAACCUUCGCACAUGAAGCUUGAGUCCAGCAAAAGAUGCAGCUAGCCAAUCCUUCAACUUCCAAAACCCCACAAAAUCUCUGUCAAUAUGUCUGUUCUACUUCAAUAUUAAGCACAUUCAUAGCGGUAUCAACA
RNAcentral lists this long non-coding RNA (21519 nucleotides) under Citrus maxima (pomelo). RNAcentral describes it as "long non-coding RNA (CMAX_LNC003393)". Lineage: Eukaryota; Viridiplantae; Streptophyta; Magnoliopsida; Sapindales; Rutaceae. The record is from RNAcentral.